Molecule: long non-coding RNA, 1098 nt
Organism: Podarcis muralis (Common wall lizard)
Lineage: Eukaryota; Metazoa; Chordata; Lepidosauria; Squamata; Lacertidae
Source: RefSeq, a predicted model, not a curated record
GCCAAGCAAACACAGGGACACAGAGAGAUCCAGCACCUGGCUAUGGUGACCAUCCCAACUCAACUAAGUUCUGUGAAUAUCCAGAAACAAGAUGAAACAAAACAAAGAGCCCUGUUGGGUCCACUGUGUUCAGAAACCUGCUUUCAUCAGUGACCAUUCUGAGAUCUAUAAAGGAGAUUUCUAAAGGCUGUGUCUACAUCAAGCGGUCUGGACCAGAAUCAUCAGAAUAUCAGCACAGUAGAAGACCUAAGCCCGCACUCCUUUGGACAUGAACAAAUACUGAAUGACAGUCUUCAACAAUUUCAAGGCACUAGGACAAUGGUCAACAACCCGGCACCCACUAGGGUUAUGGCACCCAUGAAGGUUGUUAUUAGACACCAACAGUGUGUAUGUGCUUGAUCUCCAUAAACAGGAGCAGCAGGACAUAGUUGACUUCCCAUGGCAAGUGCAAGGUUGCUGGGGGUGGUUGUCUCUCUAAUUCUGUGUUAUGCCAUACUCCCUGUGGCAGCCAAUUUAUGUUACACCACACCUGCUUCAUGGCAGUCAUUUUGUGACUGGUGCCCCCAGCACCCUCUCAACAUUCAAACUGUGCCCACUAGUCCAAAAUGGUUGGUAACCUUUGUGCUAGGGAGCCAGUGUUCUAAUAUGGAGGUGUGCAGCAGAAUGUAUACUUACAUAUGGGUAUACAUGUAUCUGCAACAGAGGAUAAAAUGUAAUGCACCUAAUGAAGUAAAAUACAGUCCAUGCAAGCUUGUUCCACAAUAAAUUUGUUAGUCUUUAUGACUUUUUUUGUUGCAUUUGCUCCAAUAUGUCUACUCCUCUGGAAAUUAGCCCACCUUCCUUCCAGCAUGGAAACCUGGACAGCAUAUAUGAAAUUCUAGCUAGCCAGCCAGCCACUGACCAAACCCAGACUUGCUUAGUAUGAGCAACUUGGUGGCAUCAUGCCCUUAUUCUGGUAUGACCAUAACCAAGCUAGGAUCUAGAACGCUACCUUUGGUGUGCCCAAGGGCUUGUAACUAGCCAAUGGCAGUUGUCACUACAGUGGUACCUCUGGAUGCGAACGGGAUCCGUUCCAGAGCCCCAUUCGCAUCCAGAGCA